CUUCCCAUUUAUUUGCUGCUAUAGUCUUUACAAUGAUAUGAGCAGUUAUAUGCACAGGAUAAAAUAACAUUGGACCACUGUCAAUUGAGAUGGAGUAACUAUUUCAUCUCUUCUGCAUGCAUAGUUUAGACAAAU
Molecule: small nucleolar RNA, 135 nt
Filed under: Myotis lucifugus (little brown bat)
Lineage: Eukaryota; Metazoa; Chordata; Mammalia; Chiroptera; Vespertilionidae
Also listed under: 1 other name
Description: Small nucleolar RNA SNORA20 (ENSMLUG00000030510.1)
Rfam family: Small nucleolar RNA SNORA20
About the family: ACA20 is a member of the H/ACA class of snoRNA that guide the sites of modification of uridines to pseudouridines.
Source: Rfam by way of RNAcentral